AUAUUUUUAAUACAUUAAAUCAAACAUUUAUAAGUAACUAACACAAACAUUACUGAUAUAAGCAUAACUAAUUCACUAUAACAGUAUACCAAACGACACGACCCCUAAGAAUAUUAACUGUACUCUAAUUAAAAAUUCUGUCUUCUCUUUUCCAAUUGUGACAUUUUUGUGUCCAAUACCUUGAAGAACAUUAAUGGCCUGUGUUUAUCCUUCAAUCGCUCUUGUUUUGUUGGGGUGUCUUGAUUUUUGGCCUCUGCAGGAAUUUAGGAUCAGGCUCAUGUUUAUCAGCAGGUUCUCUCAUUGCCAAACAAAUAUAAAAUGCAAUAACCACAUUGACCGAUAUGACAGCAAUGAAUCCACUCACUAAUGUCAUAGAAUGGGAAGACAUGUUGGCCACACCAGGAAUUAAGUUAGAGGUUAAAGGCGUAUAAAAUUGCAAUUGGAGCUGCCCACAUAAUCAAAGAUGUAAUGAAGAACUUACUGACAACUCCCGCCAUAGUUGUUGUCAAGACAAACAAUCACCAGAAAAUAUAGCAAAGCAACUCUUUCUGAGAAUAUGACAAUUUUGAGAGUGAGCUAUCACAGAGAAAUCCUAAAAUUUGGUCCAAUUUGUUUGUUCAGUCCUUGUUUUCCUACACUUUCUCACGCAGGAAAUUGCACGUCAUAAUCCAAAUUAUGGAUAAUUUUAGAUAUUUGACCCCAAUAAGAAAUGUCUUUAAAGAAUAACCUUCCUUACAUUUUAAGUAUAAUACAAGUAUCAUUUUAUUCCUCUAC
This 774-nucleotide long non-coding RNA is filed under the name Capsicum annuum. RNAcentral describes it as "long non-coding RNA (CANN_LNC009434)". The record is from RNAcentral. Lineage: Eukaryota; Viridiplantae; Streptophyta; Magnoliopsida; Solanales; Solanaceae.